ACAAAGCCCUAGCUAGCCAGUAACUAGCUAACACCAGACACAGAUGAAGACCUAGCUAGCCAGUAACUAGCUAACACCAGACAUAAAGACCUAGCUAGCCAGUCACUAGCUAACACCAGACAUAAAGACCUAGCUAGCCAGUAACUAGCUAACACCAGACAUAAAGACCUAGCUAGCCUGUAACUAGCUAACACCAGACAUAAAGACCUAGCUAGCCAGUCACUAGCUAACACCAGACAUAAAGACCUAGCUAGCCAGUAACUAGGUAACACCAGACAAAGACCUAGCUAGCCAGUCACUAGCUAACACCAGACAUAAAGACCUAGCUAGCCUGUAACUUGGUAACACCAGACAAAGACCUAGCUAGCCAGUAACUAGCUAACACCAGACACAGAUGAAGACCUAGCUAGCCAGUAACUAGCUAACACCAGACAUAAAGACCUAGCUAGCCAGUCACUAGCUAACACCAGACAUAAAGACCUAGCUAGCCAGUCACUAGCUAACACCAGACAUAAAGCUAGCCAGUCACUAGCUAACACCAGACAUAAAGACCUAGCUAGCCAGUCACUAGCUAACACCAGACAUAAAGACCUAGCUAGCCAGUAACUUGGUAACACCAGACAAAGACCUAGCUAGCCAGUAACUAGCUAACACCAGACACAGAUGAAGACCUAGCUAGCCAGUAACUAGCUAACACCAGACAUAAAGACCUAGCUAGCCAGUCACUAGCUAACACCAGACAUAAAGACCUAGCUAGCCAGUAACUAGCUAACACCAGACAUAAAGACCUAGCUAGCCUGUAACUAGCUAACACCAGACAUAAAGACCUAGCUAGCCAGUCACUAGCUAACACCAGACAUAAAGACCUAGCUAGCCAGUAACUAGGUAACACCAGACAAAGACCUAGCUAGCCAGUCACUAGCUAACACCAGACAUAAAGACCUAGCUAGCCUGUAACUUGGUAACACCAGACAAAGACCUAGCUAGCCAGUAACUAGCUAACACCAGACACAGAUGAAGACCUAGCUAGCCAGUAACUAGGUAACACCAGACAAAGACCUAGCUAGCCAGUCACUAGCUAACACCAGACAUAAAGACCUAGCUAGCCAGUCACUAGCUAACACCAGACAAAGACCUAGCUAGCCAGUAACUAGCUAACACCAGACAUAAAGACCUAGCUAGCCUGUAACUUGGUAACACCAGACAAAGACCUAGCUAGCCAGUCACUAGCUAACACCAGACAUAAAGACCUAGCUAGCCAGUCACUAGCUAACACCAGACAAAGACCUAGCUAGCCAAUAACUAGCUAACACCAGACAUAAAGACCUAGCUAGCCAGUCACUAGCUAACACCAGACAUAAAGACCUAGCUAGCCAGUCACUAGCUAACACCAGACAUAAAGACCUAGCACGCCAGUAACUAGCUAACACCAGACAAAGAUGAAGACCUAGCUAGCCAGUAACUAGCUAACACCAGACAUAAAGACCUAGCUAGCCAGUAACUAGGUAACACCAGACAAAGA
Long non-coding RNA from Oncorhynchus keta (chum salmon), 1522 nucleotides. RefSeq lists it as uncharacterized. The transcript has 3 exons. The record is from RefSeq and is a predicted model, not a curated record. NCBI's taxonomy places the organism in Eukaryota, Metazoa, Chordata, Actinopteri, Salmoniformes, Salmonidae.